UACGAAGGGUGCAAACGUUGCUCGGAAUUAUUGGGCGUAAAGCGCGUGUAGGCGGCUUGGUAAGUCGGGUGUGAAAUCCCGGGGCCCAACCCCGGAACUGCAUUCGAAACUGCCUCGCUAGAGUCCCGGAGAGGAAGGCGGAAUUCCCGGUGUAGAGGUGAAAUUCGUAGAUAUCGGGAGGAACACCAGCGGCGAAGGCGGCCUUCUGGACGGUGACUGACGCUGAGACGCGAAAGCGUGGGGAGCAAACAGG
RNAcentral lists this ribosomal RNA (253 nucleotides) under uncultured bacterium. RNAcentral describes it as "partial 16S ribosomal RNA". It matches the Rfam family "Bacterial small subunit ribosomal RNA", at positions 524 to 776 of the family's 1533-position model. The record is from RNAcentral.